UACAGAGGUCUCAAGCGUUGUUCGGAUUCAUUGGGCGUAAAGGGUGUGUAGGUGGCGCGCUAAGUCGGGUGUGAAAUUUCGGAGCUUAACUCCGAAACUGCAUUCGAUACUGGCGUGCUUGAGGACUGGAGAGGAGACUGGAAUUCAUGGUGUAGCAGUGAAAUGCGUAGAGAUCAUGAGGAAGACCAGUGGCGAAGGCGGGUCUCUGGACAGUUCCUGACACUGAGACUCGACGAGCCAGGGAGACGGAAACGG
This 255-nucleotide ribosomal RNA is filed under the name uncultured bacterium. Its description in RNAcentral is "partial 16S ribosomal RNA". It matches the Rfam family "Bacterial small subunit ribosomal RNA", at positions 524 to 776 of the family's 1533-position model. The record is from RNAcentral.